This 449-nucleotide ribosomal RNA is filed under the name uncultured prokaryote. Its description in RNAcentral is "bacterial SSU rRNA". It matches the Rfam family "Bacterial small subunit ribosomal RNA", at positions 355 to 796 of the family's 1533-position model. The record is from RNAcentral.
UGGGGAAUAUUGGGCAAUGGGCGCAAGCCUGACCCAGCCACGCCGCGUGAGUGAUGAAGGCCCUCGGGUCGUAAAGCUCUGUGGAGAGGGACGAAGAAGGCGUCGCGAAUAGCGGUCGUCGGUGACGGUACCUCUUUAGCAAGCACCGGCUAACUCCGUGCCAGCAGCCGCGGUAAUACGGAGGGUGCAAACGUUGCUCGGAAUCAUUGGGCGUAAAGCGAGCGUAGGCGGCUUUGCAAGUCGGACGUGAAAGCCCUCGGCUCAACCGAGGAAGUGCGUUCGAAACUGCAUCGCUCGAGUCCCGGAGAGGGUGACGGAAUUCCCGGUGUAGAGGUGAAAUUCGUAGAUAUCGGGAGGAACAUCAGUGGCGAAGGCGGUCACCUGGACGGGUACUGACGCUGAGGCUCGAAAGCGUGGGGAGCAAACAGGAUUAGAUACCCCCGUAGUCC